AGUGAACGCUGGCGGUAGGCCUAACACAUGCAAGUCGAACGGCAGCACAGGAGAGCUUGCUCUCUGGGUGGCGAGUGGCGGACGGGUGAGGAAUACAUCGGAAUCUGCCCAGUCGUGGGGGAUAACGUAGGGAAACUUACGCUAAUACCGCAUACGACCUUCGGGUGAAAGAGGGGGAUCGCAAGACCUCUCGCGAUUGGAUGAGCCGAUGUCGGAUUAGCUAGUUGGCGGGGUAAUGGCCCACCAAGGCGACGAUCCGUAGCUGGUCUGAGAGGAUGAUCAGCCACACUGGAACUGAGACACGGUCCAGACUCCUACGGGAGGCAGCAGUGGGGAAUAUUGGACAAAGGGCGCAAGCCUGAUCCAGCCCUACCGCGUGGGUGAAGAAGGCCUUCGGGUUGUAAAGCCCUUUUGUUGGGAAAGAAAUCUUUCAGGCUAAUACCCUGGGAGGAUGACGGUACCCAAAGAAUAAGCACCGGCUAACUUCGUG
Molecule: ribosomal RNA, 490 nt
Filed under: uncultured bacterium
Lineage: Bacteria
Description: partial 16S ribosomal RNA
Rfam family: Bacterial small subunit ribosomal RNA
Source: RNAcentral